AUCCUUAGCAGUGCUAGUUUAGUAUAUCAUCUAUUAAAAUUCUUACGAAUUUCUACUUUUCGUUGAAUUUCCAGAAAUGUUUCGAGUGACAAUGUGGUGCUAAAGUGGUAGCACUCAACGAAAGAAUACCUGGGGGACAAUCAUCUUUGGGCCCUGAUAUCACUAAUCUUUCUAACGUACUAAUUAUAAUUCUGGAUCUUCAGGAGGAAGAUCUAAUUCUGUUAAAUCACAUUUCGAAGUAAAGUUAAUAGAAAAUUUCUAUACCCGACCUUAGGACACUUCAACCAUCAUUAGUUCCCAAAUUUACUUACAAUGCAGUAUCCUUCACUACAAUAUGUAUUUGCAUGGAAGUUUAUACUUAUAGUUAGCAGGAAUACCAUAAGUAGUAAUCAAUUUUCCUUAGAUUUAGCAGAACCAAAUCACAGGACAAGAUCCUUACCAAUCAACCGAAACUAUCCAUCGGGAUAGGCUCUAACUUGUAGUCAGCCUAUAGUGAUGCUACUUAUUAACGAUACUUUUCGGUAUCCAAGAACUAUUAACCAGUAUUCAGGUGGUAUGAUUUCUAAUACCGAACACAUAUCAGUAUCUGGGAGUGAUACCUGAAUGCCAGAAUGCAGGUUCACAGUUUUAGGUUGAUGAACAAAAUUAAAAUAUCAUUAAUGUGUCAAUUAGCGACAUGACUAAUAUACUGACUCACAUAGGCAACUUGGGCCGAAGAAAUUGACAUCGUGGAAAUUUAGGUUCAAGCCUUGUAAGAGGACAGUAAAGCUGUAGUUGUGUUAACCAUAUCACCCACCUAGGUAACCAAAACAUUCCCGACCUAGUCACGAAUACGUAUUUUGGACUCUUUCCUUAGGACUUUGGUUAAUUAGGGCACCAUUCAAUUCGUCGUAUCAUCUGUAGCUAUUCAAAUAUUUCAAUCACCUAGUACCAUAGUCGGGUACGUCUUGUGAAUCCUAAUGCCAUGAGGAAAAGUUUGUCUUAUCGUGUGCGAAUACGGUGGAUGCACCAUUCUUUUUACCAAUCUGAUGAUGCUAGUUAGUCUAUUUCGUUGGACAUCAUGAAUUUCCACGUAAUCUAAGGGAUAAAUUGACUACAUCAUAACUAUCCCUUUGGUGAAGUAUUGACUGAAAAUGGUCAUUUUCCCGACUAUUAGUCAUCCUUAUGGUCACUUUCACAAGUAAAUGUGAUAGGAGCAUAUUUAUGCGCCUUAGUUAGCUAGUUUUUAUGCAUUUUCGUUAUGUUCUUUUCGUUAAAAGUAGUCUUUUAAGCUACUUUCAUGUGUUUUCAGGUUUAAAGGACAUAUUACAUGAAAUGAUGCAAUUUGGAGCUUUUUGGAGCAAAAUUAAGCCAGAAUGUUGUGUAUGCUAAUGGAGCACGAGGAAUGGACGAGUUUGAAGGUCAAAGGAGCUUAAGAAGUGAAGAAAUAAAAGUGAAGAACAAAGAAGUUGGAAUUGGCAACCAAAGUUUCUAAAGUUGGAAGUUCCUAUUCUUGGCGGUUUCCAUUUUCGUGAGUUUCUAUUCUUGGCUUUGGGCUUUGAGAUGACCUAAACCCUAAUUCCUUGUGGAUCCUAAGCCUAUGCCGCACCCUAGGCCCCUUUCAUUUAAUUUCUGCCAUGUUAAAGCAUAAUCCAUCUCCCCUAGGGUUUGGGCCGCACCUCUCCCAUUCUAGAACACCAAUUUCCUUGCCUUGCAAGGCUUUCUAGAAGCCCUAACCCUAGCCCACUCCUUGCCGCACCCUAGGCCCUUUUUCUCACCAAAUUUCUGAUUGUUUAACUUAUUUUUCUGGUGGAUUUGGGUUUCUAGAAACCCUAAUCUGAUUUGUUAGGGUUUUUAAGUGCCUAUAUAUUUAUUUUCUACACCGAGCCGCAUGAUCUCCCUCUCCACAAAUCAGAAAAUCAUCCAAUCCUUUUUCCCACCUUGCCGCAGCCACCAUCUCCUUAAUCCCUCCUUGCCGCAACCAUCCUUUACUCCAGCCACCAUUAUACACCUCCAUACACCAUCCAUACCCCUUGCCGCACCACCAUAUCAUCCUAACUCCAUUCCUAAAACAAAACCACAUCCAAAAAUCCCUUUAACCAUCUCUGCCGCAGCAAGGAGAAGAAGAAGAGGAGCUUGACGUGCAGAAAUUCAAAGUGGAAUUCUUGGG
RNAcentral lists this long non-coding RNA (2149 nucleotides) under Malus domestica (apple). Its description in RNAcentral is "long non-coding RNA (MDOM_LNC002878)". The record is from RNAcentral. Lineage: Eukaryota; Viridiplantae; Streptophyta; Magnoliopsida; Rosales; Rosaceae.